UACGGGGGGGGCAAGCGUUGUUCGCAAUUACUGGGCGUAAAGCGCACGUAGGCGGAUCGUUAAGUCGGGGGUGAAAUCCUGGAGCUCAACUCCAGAACUGCCUUCGAUACUGGCGAUCUCGAGUUCGGGAGAGGUGAGUGGAACUGCGAGUGUAGAGGUGAAAUUCGUAGAUAUUCGCAAGAACACCAGUGGCGAAGGCGGCUCACUGGCCCGAUACUGACGCUGAGGUGCGAAAGCGUGGGGAGCAAACAGG
This 253-nucleotide ribosomal RNA is filed under the name uncultured bacterium. RNAcentral describes it as "partial 16S ribosomal RNA". It matches the Rfam family "Bacterial small subunit ribosomal RNA", at positions 524 to 776 of the family's 1533-position model. The record is from RNAcentral.